CUUCCUCCUGCCUGCGCCCAGAGUCUUCACAGCAUGCCGAUGGCAAGGACCAGUGACCCCGGGAGCUCGGCUGUCACCUCCCUCUGCCAUUGCAGCACCUCACUUUCCCAGGGCAGUUACAAGGAAUGAACAGCUCAUGGGAUUGCUUUUCCUCGAGUCUGAUGGAACGUGCCAGCUGCACACUCACUCUCGGGGCUCCCUUCCCGCUUCAGACCACAGGAUUUGUCUACAGAUCCAAACCAAUGGGUCGGACUGAGGACCAAAGCCCUGCUUGAACAGUGACAAAUCCAUACUCCUAGAGGACACAUGAGAACGGGACUGUCCCUACGCCGAGUGACAUCAUCAUUCCCCUGUGGGGGAGAGACAGCACAAAAGCCAUCCUUGUAAUGAUGCCACACACAGGCACACGCACAUUCUGCAAGCUCACAGGGGGCUGACUGGAGAAGUCUGGCUUCUGGUGUGCUGGCUACAAGUGCUGCCUGCCUUACCGGCUUCCUAGUUGGGUUCUCUCAAACUGCCCAACCCCCAAAUUAUACAAGAACAGCCUAGCCCAACCCUGGGUUCUGAUCCCAGGCAGGGAAAUGCGUUUGUAACAGCCCAGGCGUGGGACUACUAACCCAGCUGGGGCAGCACAAUUAGCGUUCUGCCCUGAUAAACAUCAGAGUCAUUUGCCUACCAGAUCCAGGGCUAUUAUCUAAUAAUGGGUUCUAGUAGCUCAAAUCUGACGGGCGUGUGUGUGUGUGUGUGUGUGUGUGUGUGUGUGUGUGUGUGUGUGUGUGUUUCAGAAGAGAAAAUGGGAACCUAGGGGAAAAGGGCAGUUGUGAACUAGUCCUUUGGUGGGAGCUUGUGGGUGGAAUCAUGUAUAAGGAUUUAAACAAACAGAAUGCAUCACUAUGGAAACAACCGGUUUUUUUUUCAAAGGAACCGUUAAAAAAUAAAGUAAUCAAGACUUCAGAUUCAACACUCCAAGUGUUUAUGACCAGAAAAGGCAAAGUGGGUCUUAGAUACUCUGCCGCCAAGAAAAAGCUGCCAGAACUCAAGGAAGAAAUAUUCCCAGCAGAGCAGGAACCCAUCAUCUGUCAGGCUUUCCCCUGAAGCCCUCACAGGCCAGCAUUCUGCUCACUGCAGGCCGACUUAACUCUUUCAGGGUUGCUGUGACAUGGCUCAGCAGCCUGGGCGCUUUCCCGAUGGGAUCCAGACAGACCUGCUGUGCACCAGAGCUGAGCCAAGGCAGCCGAGGUAGCAAAAAGGGAGUCUAAGGGACAUUCCUGGAUGAGCUGUGACCCAAAUGUGCUAGAGACCACCAGCUGGGCUAGUGGACCUGGACCAGAGCAGACUCCCAUUUCUGCACCGUGUCACACUGUUCGCUCGCGUGCCUGGAGGCUCGUUCCAUUUCUGGGGUAAAGCCCGGCGCACCCGUCUGCUGACUGGAGCGGUGAUGCUGUUACGACGCCUCACACUUAGUUUGGACAUCACCAGGGUUCCCGCAUGUCCUCAAAGAUGACAGGACAAACAGUAGGGGAAAAUUCACCCAUCUGUGAAAGUUCUGAGGCACAUCUGCUUAGAUACGGUUAGGAGCCACUUGCUAGGGACGUUGCCCAAGCCUGUUUCUAAAUUCACCGCACCCAACCCCCGCCAAAAUGAGUUUCCCCAGUUUAAUGGCACUGUGAGUUUAGUGAGCCACAGCUUCUGACAAGAUGCUGGUGUUAGCUAAGGAGAAAUGUGAUGCAGGCAUCUGCCCUGAUGCACAAAGCAAUCAGGGGACAUAAAGGCCGCCUGCAGCUGGCUCUGGUCAGCUCCGCUGGAGCGAGGGCCUCAGAGGAUUCCACCUCAGUUCAGCAUGGAGGAGAAAGGGGAAACCAGCUUUGGAAUUAGCCUUUGAAAUUUGUCUCUGCCGGCACAAGUGCUGCUAAAAUACUUCUUAGGGACUCAGCUUCUUGUCUCCACAGCAAAAUCAGUCUGAGGAAGAAGAGACGGCAACUAGAAACUCGUAGGACGGCCUGCAGGCAACCAAAGCUCACAGAGGGCAACUAAAACGAAACCUGCGUCUCAUGCUCAGCUGCAUACUGGCUGUCUGGCGUGCUUUGUGCCAGCAAACAGCUUUGUCUCAGUUCCUGGGAGCUGCAAAUGGCUGGUGUGGAGACAGCACUGUCUUCCCAGGUAGGACUGCCUGGGGUGGAGACAGGAGCACGCCGCCUUCUCUCUAUUCAGAGGCCUGUAGCCCCAGUGUGCCCCAGGAAGACUGACAGCUGGGAGGUUCAGCUGAAUAAACAGUGUCCCUGAACAUGCAGCUUUCCAUUACAAUAACACACAAACCAAGAUGUUAAGGAGUCAAGGAAGACUUCAACAAAGCCCAAAGAAGCCACCUCUGUUUGGGUUUCAGCAGCUGUCUGCCUGUGGAAGGCUCCAGAGUCACUGACAUGUAUUUAUAUCUCCAUUUUGCUAACGUCAUAAGGAACAAACAUGUUCAGAUCUUCCUCAGAGGCACAAGGCCAUUUGUAUUUCUUCAAAUUAAAGGGGGGAGGGCAGGAGGAAAAGAGCUGAUGGACCGAAUCAUCUGUGAGCACAGUCAUAGCAGUGUUUAAUUUGCCUAAUGAUAACCCUUGAUUUAGAGAUUUGUCUCGAAGUAGACAUGCUGGCAACAGGAAGCGCUGGUGGCUCUCCUUCAGAAGGACAAGGACCUGCCUGUGAGGCAAACACCACAGUCUCCCAACAGCCACAGGACGACGAGAGUGCAGAGCUGUUUCUGAAAGUGCUUCCAGGAGCGGGGGAGGGGGUGCACAGCCCCCACCUCAGUGGCUGGCAACUUUGCAGACGUUGCCCAUCACCAGGCUGCUCCUCUGGGCUCUGGAUAAAUGGUCCGAAAGGUUAGGUUUACUCUCCGUUCUCUGGAAUGGUAUUCCUUGGGCACUCGGUGCUAAAUGGAAAUAUUAAUAGUUGUCCGGCAUAAAUAUACAUGCAUUUUUUAGUUCACUGUGA
Peromyscus maniculatus bairdii (prairie deer mouse) is the source of this 2979-nucleotide long non-coding RNA. RefSeq lists it as uncharacterized. The record is from RefSeq and is a predicted model, not a curated record. Lineage: Eukaryota; Metazoa; Chordata; Mammalia; Rodentia; Cricetidae.